RNAcentral lists this ribosomal RNA (520 nucleotides) under uncultured Sulfurovum sp. Its description in RNAcentral is "bacterial SSU rRNA". It matches the Rfam family "Bacterial small subunit ribosomal RNA", at positions 877 to 1397 of the family's 1533-position model. The record is from RNAcentral. Lineage: Bacteria; Pseudomonadati; Campylobacterota; Epsilonproteobacteria; Campylobacterales; Sulfurovaceae.
GGAGUGCGGUCGCAAGAUUAAAACUCAAAGGAAUAGACGGGGACCCGCACAAGUGGUGGAGCAUGUGGUUUAAUUCGAAGAUACGCGAAGAACCUUACCUAGCCUUGACAUAUUUUAGAACACUUUAGAGAUAGAGUGGUGCCUUCGGGAGCUAAUAUACAGGUGCUGCACGGCUGUCGUCAGCUCGUGUCGUGAGAUGUUGGGUUAAGUCCCGCAACGAGCGCAACCCUCGUCACUAGUUACUAACGGUUCGGCCGAGGACUCUAGUGAGACUGCCUUCGUAAGGAGGAGGAAGGUGAGGACGACGUCAAGUCAUCAUGGCCCUUACGGCUAGGGCAACACACGUGCUACAAUGGCCAGGACAAUGAGACGCGAUACCGCGAGGUGGAGCAAAUCUAUAAACCUGGUCUCAGUUCGGAUUGUAGUCUGCAACUCGACUACAUGAAGCUGGAAUCACUAGUAAUCGUAGAUCAGCUAUGCUACGGUGAAUACGUUCCCGGGUCUUGUACACACCGCCCGU